CUGGGGCGUGCUACACAUGCAGUCGACGCUGAAGCCCGAGCUUGCUCGGGUGGAUGAGUGGCGAACGGGUGAGUAACACGUGAGUAACCUGCCUAUCACUCUGGGAUAAGCGCUGGAAACGGCGUCUAAUACUGGAUAUGUCCUGUCACCGCAUGGUGUGCAGGUGGAAAGAUUUAUCGGUGGUAGAUGGACUCGCGGCCUAUCAGCUUGAUGGUGAGGUAAUGGCUCACCAUGGCGACGACGGGUAGCCGGCCUGAGAGGGUGACCGGCCACACUGGGACUGAGACACGGCCCAGACUCCUACGGGAGGCAGCAGUGGGGAAUAUUGCACAAUGGGCGCAAGCCUGAUGCAGCAACGCCGCGUGAGGGAUGACGGCCUUCGGGUUGUAAACCUCUUUUGUCAGGGAAGAAGCGAAAGUGACGGUACCUGGAGAAAAAGCACCGGCUAACUACGUGCCAGCAGCCGCGGUAAUACGUAGGGUGCAAGCGUUGUCCGGAAUUAUUGGGCGUAAAGAGCUCGUAGGCGGCUUGUCGCGUCUGCUGUGAAAACCCGAGGCUCAACCUCGGGCCUGCAGUGGGUACGGGCAAGCUAGAGUGCGGUAGGGGAGAUUGGAAUUCCUGGUGUAGCGGUGGAAUGCGCAGAUAUCAGGAGGAACACCGAUGGCGAAGGCAGAUCUCUGGGCCGUAACUGACGCUGAGGAGCGAAAGCAUGGGGAGCGAACAGGAUUAGAUACCCUGGUAGUCCAUGCCGUAAACGUUGGGAACUAGAUGUAGGGCCGGUUCCACGGGUUCUGUGUCGUAGCUAACGCAUUAAGUUCCCCGCCUGGGGGAGUACGGCCGCAAGGCUAAAACUCAAAGGAAAUUGACGGGGGCCCGCACAAGCGGCGGAGCAUGCGGAUUAAUUCGAUGCAACGCGAAGAACCUUACCAAGGUUGGACCUAUAGAAGAACACUGCAGAGAUGCAGGACUCUUUGGACCUUCUAUACAGGGGGGGGCCUGGGUUGCCGCCACUCGGGGCCGGAG
This 1023-nucleotide ribosomal RNA is filed under the name Leucobacter celer. RNAcentral describes it as "bacterial SSU rRNA". It matches the Rfam family "Bacterial small subunit ribosomal RNA", at positions 36 to 1071 of the family's 1533-position model. The record is from RNAcentral. Lineage: Bacteria; Bacillati; Actinomycetota; Actinomycetes; Micrococcales; Microbacteriaceae.